UGAGUUAGUUCUUCAUGUGCC
This 21-nucleotide non-coding RNA is filed under the name Arabidopsis thaliana (thale cress). Lineage: Eukaryota; Viridiplantae; Streptophyta; Magnoliopsida; Brassicales; Brassicaceae. The record is from RNAcentral.